GAUGAACGCUAGCGGCAGGCCUAACACAUGCAAGUCGAGGGAUAAGCCUUCUGGCUAAGACCGGCGCACGGGUGCGUAACUCGUAUACAAUCUGCCUUUUAUCCGGUGGAUAGCCCGAAGAAAUUUGGAUUAAUACCCUAUGGUAUAAGAGCACGGCAUAGUUCACUUAUUAAAGCUACGGCGGUAAAAGAUGAGUAUGCGUUCUAUUAGCUAGUUGGAGAGUUAACGGCUCCCCAAGGCGACGAUAGAUCGGGGUUCUGAGAGUGAUGUCUGCCACACUGGUACUGAGAUACGGACCAGACUCCUACGGGAGGAAGCAGUGAGGAAUAUUGAACGAUGGUCGGAAGACUGAUACAGCCAUGCCGCGUGCAGGAUGACGGCCUUAUGGGUUGUAAACUGCUUUUGUAAGGGAAGAAUAAGGAGUACGGGUACUUUGAUGACGGUACCUUACGAAUAAGCUUCGGCUAACUCCGGG
This 475-nucleotide ribosomal RNA is filed under the name uncultured bacterium. RNAcentral describes it as "partial 16S ribosomal RNA". It matches the Rfam family "Bacterial small subunit ribosomal RNA", at positions 28 to 507 of the family's 1533-position model. The record is from RNAcentral.